This 2559-nucleotide long non-coding RNA is filed under the name Phaseolus vulgaris (common bean). Its description in RNAcentral is "long non-coding RNA (PVUL_LNC001186)". Lineage: Eukaryota; Viridiplantae; Streptophyta; Magnoliopsida; Fabales; Fabaceae. The record is from RNAcentral.
AAGGUUGUAGGAAAAUAGUGUCGGAGAGGAAGGAGAAAGCGCGAAAAGGGAAAACGUUGUGGAAGAGGAAAGGUUCAGAUCAUCUUUUGAGGAGAAGACGUGGAUGUCGGACGCAGGUGUUGGAGAGGAAGGAGAAAAUGCUGAAGGAAAACUUGUUGGAGGUUGAAGGGACAAAAACCACGAAUCCGAGACACCUACCUUGCCAGUAUAAAUGAGUCGGACGAUCAAAUGAAGGUCCCUCCGGAUUGUCAAAAUAACCACCUUGAAGCAGAGGGUAAGUUUCUGCUACUAUUUUUAUGCAGAAUUUGUAAAAGAUAUACUUACUAUUUGUUAGUAUUAAUUUUGAACAGUUUUUCUUCACUCAUUUAGUAGCUAAACACUCAUUUUAGUGUGAAAAAAAACUUGCUGGCAACAUCUCAUUUCAAUAUCGAUAUACUAGUGUCUCUCGUGUCUAAAUCACUUGGUCACAUAUUUCGUGUCAUAGAGAUGGGGAAACUGCAUUGCUUAGAAAGAAAAACAUGCGCCUAAUACAUAAACAAUGAAAUUGGUAUUGGAAAAGUUUAUCUAAAGCUAUAUAGGGAGAAUUCUAAUCAUAUUGUUCGUUGUCACAAGCUGGAUAAUUGAUAUAUGCAUGUUAGGGAUUUUUAAUGCAAUAGUAUUUUUUGAUAAUAUGUAUGAGAGUUAAACUUAAGGUUAUAUUAUCAUAUUUGAAUUACUAAUUUUCUAUUGUUAUGUGCACAUAAUUUUUACUGUAAUACAAGUGAAGGUGUUUGGAUGACUUGUGAAUGACCUUCAGAUUGCUUUGAGUUGGUUGCUUCUUUUAAUGAAAGAGUAGCCUCUAAUAUCAUCUUUGACCAAAGUUUUUAAACUACCAAUUCUGACUGGUAGUGUGGAGCUAGAUCAAUUUCUUAUUCAGUUUGAAGCAACUGUGCACAGUGACUUCCCAAAUUACCGGGUAUACUUUUUGCCUUUCUAGGUUUUCAAAUAAUAUUGACUGAAACUUACUCUAGAUAUUCUUCGCAGCCCAAGAACUAUGCCUCAUAGUUUAUUUACUUUAAAUUGUUAAUUUGGAAUAUUGAAUUUGUUAAAAAGCUGAUUGUGCUGUUAUUUUUCUUGGAAAUUAGAAUAUAAAUCAUAUAUUGUUGGUGACGACAAUCACUGAAUUUGAAUAAAUUGAUUGGCUCCUAACAAUUUAUUUGUUUUAUAUAGAGGUGGAUUAGUAUUCAAAAGUUUUUCGUAUUCACUUAUUACUUCUAGUAAUGGUAAUGGAAAUAUUUCAUGUUUGAAAAUUGGAUAUGUGAUUGAAAUGGAGGUACCUUAUUAUGCAUAACACUAAGCAAUAUAGUAGGAGCUGAUAAAAAAAAAAAAAGCAAUAUAGUAGGAAAUUGUGAUUUUGCUACAGGAAACUUUGAGGCUACAGCCUAAAUGUUGUGGACACUAAAUAUGAUAAAGGGUAGUGAAUUUGCGUGGAGGCAUAACACUUGAAUUUGUUGUUUAAGGAUUUGGGUUUCGCUGGCUUGAUUCAGGUUAUAGUCUAAUUUCAUGACAAGCCAAACAAAAAUUACUAUAUCUUUAUUUUGCCAAUUCAAUUAACCCAUAUAUAUGUUACUUGUAUUACUUUAUUAUGUUUGAAUUUUUUGAUUCAUUUGGACACCUGGUGUGAUAACCCUUUUAGCAAGUUUAAUAUAUUAUACCCAAGAUCUUUCUGAAUAAAUUUUUUAUAGUCAUCAUAAUUAUCAAACCCACUUCUGCUUAUUUUUGUUUAGAAGGUAAAAAGUUAGCAGCAUUUUUUACCUUUGCUACAAUGCCUUUUAUGGAUUGGCAUUUUAACAGUUUGAUAUAUGGCAAAUGUUGAUUUUCAGUUUCAUCAAUUAUAUGUUCAUGUUUGUGAGCAUAUGCAGUGGCGUAUUAUCUUGGAGUGUAUGUAUAACUAAUGGUAUAGUUUGUUCUAGAAUCAUGAUGUUACAAAUUUGGAUGUUGUAACACUCUCAACACUUGUUGAAUUACUUUUGGAGCAGGUAGCUCACUGGUUUGAAGUCGUUCAUGACAUCCUCCCAUGACGUUGUACAAGUUGCACAACUCCCCUUUGUGUUCUGAGAGUGGGAGCAACAAGUGAUUCAACACAAUGCUGAUGUGAAAGAAACUCCUGUCAUAACAAAAGAUUCUUCUCCACAAACUCUAGCUGCACGCGUGUUCAAUCUCCUUUUUCAUCUCCUCUAUUAAUUUUUGUCGUAUCUUCGAUGCCAUUUCUGCUUUGGUAUCUGCGACGGGGGAGGAGGAUGAAUUUCGUGGUGCAAAUAUGAAAUAUUGUCAAAUUCCAACUCCUUUUCCAAUUGCACAAUCAUUAGACUUCAACCUAAUUAGCUUAAAAUCUUGCAUUGAUAUUAGGUUCUUCACAUUUGAGGAAUGUCCUUGUGACACUUUCACACCCUUUAGACAUUGAUAAAAACUUAUUUUUUCAUCUUUUGACAUGUUGUAACAGGCUGAGAGCAAAUAUGUACACUUACCCAUUUGUAUUUGUGUCAACUCGCUUUAUAUGUUCAUCUCAAUCAAAUAUAA